UGAAUAAUGUAUCGGAACGUGCCUAGUAGCGGGGGAUAACUACACGAAAGCGUAACUCAUACCGCAUACGCCCUACCGGGGAAAGCAGGGGAUCGCAAGACCUUGCACUAUUAGAGCGGCUCGAUAUCGGAUUAUCUAGAUUGGUGGGGUAACGGCUCACCAAGGCGACGAUCCGUAGCUGGUUUGAGAGGACGACCAGCCACACUGGGACUGAGACACGGCCCAGACUCCUACAGGAGGCAGCAGUGGGGAAUUUUGGACAAUGGGGGAAACCCUGAUCCAGCCAUCCCGCGUGUGCGAUGAAGGCCUUCGGGUUGUAAAGCACUUUUGGCAGGAAAGAAACGUCAUGGGCUAAUACCCCGUGAAACUGACGGUACCUGCAGAAUAAGCACCGGCUAACUACGUGCCAGCAGCCGC
Molecule: ribosomal RNA, 417 nt
Filed under: uncultured Achromobacter sp.
Lineage: Bacteria; Pseudomonadati; Pseudomonadota; Betaproteobacteria; Burkholderiales; Alcaligenaceae
Description: bacterial SSU rRNA
Rfam family: Bacterial small subunit ribosomal RNA
Source: RNAcentral